GAUGAACGCUAGCGGCAGGCUUAAUACAUGCAAGUCGUGGGGCAGCAUGAGUAGCAAUACUUGAUGGCGACCGGCAAACGGGUGAGGAACACGUACACAACCUUCCUUCAAGCGGGGAAUAGCCCAGAGAAAUUUGGAUUAAUACCCCAUAAUAUAUUUGAUAAGGCAUCUUAUUAAUAUUAAAGCUUCGGCACUUGAUGAUGGGUGUGCGGCUGAUUAGAUAGUUGGCGGGUAACGGCCCACCAAGUCUACGAUCAGUAGCUGAUGUGAGAGCAUGAUCAGCCACACGGGCACUGAGACACGGGCCCGACUCCUACGGGAGGCAGCAGUAAGGAUAUUGGACAAUGGACGAAAGUCUGAUCCAGCCAUGCCGCGUGAAGGAUUAAGGUCCUCUGGAUUGUAAACUUCUUUAUAUGGGACGAAAAAGGGCAUUCUUGUUCACUUGACGGUACCAUAUGAAUAAGCACCGGCUAACUCCGUGCCAGC
RNAcentral lists this ribosomal RNA (486 nucleotides) under uncultured bacterium. RNAcentral describes it as "bacterial SSU rRNA". It matches the Rfam family "Bacterial small subunit ribosomal RNA", at positions 28 to 512 of the family's 1533-position model. The record is from RNAcentral.